This 451-nucleotide ribosomal RNA is filed under the name uncultured bacterium. RNAcentral describes it as "partial 16S ribosomal RNA". It matches the Rfam family "Bacterial small subunit ribosomal RNA", at positions 354 to 796 of the family's 1533-position model. The record is from RNAcentral.
GUGGGGAAUAUUGGACAAUGGGGGGAACCCUGAUCCAGCCAUGCCGCGUGUGUGAAGAAGGCCUUUUGGUUGUAAAGCACUUUAAGCGAGGAGGAGGCUACCGAGAUUAAUACUCUUGGAUAGUGGACGUCACUCGCAGAAUAAGCACCGGCUAACUCUGUGCCAGCAGCCGCGGUAAUACAGAGGGUGCAAGCGUUAAUCGGAUUUACUGGGCGUAAAGCGCGCGUAGGUGGCCAAUUAAGUCAAAUGUGAAAUCCCCGAGCUUAACUUGGGAAUUGCAUUCGAUACUGGUUGGCUAGAGUAUGGGAGAGGAUGGUAGAAUUCCAGGUGUAGCGGUGAAAUGCGUAGAGAUCUGGAGGAAUACCGAUGGCGAAGGCAGCCAUCUGGCCUAAUACUGACACUGAGGUGCGAAAGCAUGGGGAGCAAACAGGAUUAGAAACCCUAGUAGUCC